RNAcentral lists this ribosomal RNA (803 nucleotides) under uncultured bacterium. Its description in RNAcentral is "bacterial SSU rRNA". It matches the Rfam family "Bacterial small subunit ribosomal RNA", at positions 8 to 796 of the family's 1533-position model. The record is from RNAcentral.
AGAGUUUGAUCAUGGCUCAGGACGAACGCUGGCGGCGUGCCUAAUACAUGCAAGUCGAGCGAAUUUUUGGGAGCUUGCUCCCAAAGGUUAGCGGCGGACGGGUGAGUAACACGUGGGCAACCUGCCUAUAAGACUGGGAUAACUUCGGGAAACCGGAGCUAAUACCGGAUAAUUCUUUUCUACACAUGUAGAAAAGCUAAAAGACGGUUUACGCUGUCACUUAUAGAUGGGCCCGCGGCGCAUUAGCUAGUUGGUGAGGUAACGGCUCACCAAGGCCACGAUGCGUAGCCGACCUGAGAGGGUGAUCGGCCACACUGGGACUGAGACACGGCCCAGACUCCUACGGGAGGCAGCAGUAGGGAAUCUUCCGCAAUGGACGAAAGUCUGACGGAGCAACGCCGCGUGAGUGAUGAAGGUUUUCGGAUCGUAAAACUCUGUUGUUAGGGAAGAACAAGUACGAGAGUAACUGCUCGUACCUUGACGGUACCUAACCAGAAAGCCACGGCUAACUACGUGCCAGCAGCCGCGGUAAUACGUAGGUGGCAAGCGUUGUCCGGAAUUAUUGGGCGUAAAGCGCGCGCAGGCGGUCCUUUAAGUCUGAUGUGAAAGCCCACGGCUCAACCGUGGAGGGUCAUUGGAAACUGGGGGACUUGAGUGCAGGAGAGAAGAGGAAUUCCACGUGUAGCGGUGAAAUGCGUAGAGAUGUGGAGGAACACCAGUGGCGAAGGCGACUCUUUGGCCUGUAACUGACGCUGAGGCGCGAAAGCGUGGGGAGCAAACAGGAUUAGAUACCCUAGUAGUCC